CCGUAGGUGAACCUGCGGAGGGAUCAUUACUGAGUUUACGCUCUAUAACCCUUUGUGAACAUACCUAUAACUGUUGCUUCGGCGGGUAGGGUCUCCGCGACCCUCCCGGCCUCCCGCCUCCGGGCGGGUCGGCGCCCGCCGGAGGAUAACCAAACUCUGAUUUAACGACGUUUCUUCUGAGUGGUACAAGCAAAUAAUCAAAACUUUUAACAACGGAUCUCUUGGUUCUGGCAUCGAUGAAGAACGCAGCGAAAUGCGAUAAGUAAUGUGAAUUGCAGAAUUCAGUGAAUCAUCGAAUCUUUGAACGCACAUUGCGCCCGCCAGCAUUCUGGCGGGCAUGCCUGUUCGAGCGUCAUUUCAACCCUCAAGCUCUGCUUGGUGUUGGGGCCCUACAGCUGAUGUAGGCCCUCAAAGGUAGUGGCGGACCCUCCCGGAGCCUCCUUUGCGUAGUAACUUUACGUCUCGCACUGGGAUCCGGAGGGACUCUUGCCGUAAAACCCCCCAAUUUUCCAAAGGUUGACCUCGGAUCAGGUAGGAAUACCCGCUGAACUUAAGCAUAUCAAUAAGCGGAGGAAAGGGC
RNAcentral lists this ribosomal RNA (580 nucleotides) under Colletotrichum gloeosporioides. RNAcentral's name for it is "eukaryotic LSU rRNA". The stretch from base 202 to 355 matches the Rfam family "5.8S ribosomal RNA". Lineage: Eukaryota; Fungi; Ascomycota; Sordariomycetes; Glomerellales; Glomerellaceae. The record is from RNAcentral.